UGGAAAAGUUCCUAACCGCAUGUCUGUAUUACACCUAUGACACAGACUGUCAGUAUUGCAAACCCUAUGUGAAGACUCUGCUUUCACUGUUUAUGUAUACACCCCUAGACAACCGUGCUAUACAUGCACAAUAAAUCUUCAAAAGCCUAUUAAUAUUAUAUCUGUGUGGUACACAAAUAGGUGUACACAAAGAGGGGGUGUGAGUUAAGUCAUCUCGACCUUCAUAUGGAAUAUGCUUCCUCCUUGUUCACUUUUGGUCAAACUGUUGGUCUGUGACUGGCCCUCUUUGACCCCAACUGAAUUUCUUGGGAAGAUUCAUGAGAAAGAUACGGCAGGUUGUUUUGGAUAUAAAGAAAGAGGGAAAAGUAUGUUGUGAUUGUGAUCUUAAGCAGG
Pelobates cultripes (western spadefoot toad) is the source of this 393-nucleotide non-coding RNA. NCBI's taxonomy places the organism in Eukaryota, Metazoa, Chordata, Amphibia, Anura, Pelobatidae. The record is from the annotation of a GenBank genome assembly.